RNAcentral lists this ribosomal RNA (729 nucleotides) under uncultured eukaryote. RNAcentral describes it as "SSU rRNA". It matches the Rfam family "Eukaryotic small subunit ribosomal RNA", at positions 670 to 1426 of the family's 1831-position model. The record is from RNAcentral.
CGCGUGUACUGGUCCGGCCGGGCCUUUCCUUCUGGAGAUCCCCAUGCCCUUCACUGGGUGUGUGGGGGAACCAGGACUUUUACUUUGAAAAAAUUAGAGUGUUCAAAGCAGGCCUUUGCUCGAAUACGUUAGCAUGGAAUAAUAGAAUAGGACGUGCGGUCCUAUUUUGUUGGUUUCUAGGACCGCUGUAAUGAUUAAUAGGGAUAGUCGGGGGCAUCAGUAUUCAAUUGUCAGAGGUGAAAUUCUUGGAUUUAUUGAAGACUAACUACUGCGAAAGCAUUUGCCAAGGAUGUUUUCAUUAAUCAGUGAACGAAAGUUAGGGGAUCGAAAACAAUCAGAUACCGUCGUAGUCUUACCGUAAACUAUGCCGACUAGGGAUCGGGCGAUGUUUUUUUCUUGACUCGCUCGGCCCCUUAGAGAAAUCAAAGUUUUUGUGUUCUGGGGGGAGUAUGGUCGCAAGGCUGAAACUUAAAGAAAUUGACGGAAGGGCCCCCCCAGGCGGGGAGCCUGCGGCUUAAUUUGACUCAACACGGGGAAACUCCCCAGGUCCAGAUGAAAUAAGGAUUGACAGAUUGAGAGCUCUUUCUUGAUUUUUCAGGUGGUGGUGCAUGGCCGUUCUUAGUUGGUGGAGUGAUUUGUCUGCUUAAUUGCGAUAACGAACGAGACCUUAACCUGCUAAAUAGCCAGGCUAGCUUUGGCUGGUCGCCGGCUUCUUAGAGGGACUAUCGG